GCUUAUUGAUUUACUCUGCCUUUCAUUGCCCAAUAUGCUAAACCCCAAAGGAUGUACACAUCAAUAUUCUAUUUGUUUUAACAAAAGGGCUUACAAAAUGCAAAUUGUUGUCAAAACCUAAAUAGGUCCAUAUAAACACCAAUUUGAUGAAGUCAAAAUCUCUGCAACACUCAACUGUCAAUCCUUCCUUUCUUUUUCCUCCUCCAAGUCGCCUCACAAAGAAGCCCUAAUAAUGUGUUACAGAAGGUCAACCAUCCGCCAUUACGUUGACCGUUUCAGUCAGCAAAGAUGAUCAAUCCAGAUAUAGAAAUUUAAUUCUAAUUACUACAAUGAAACUUACAUCGGUAGCGCGCCCUCUCUAGCCGUUUCAGAAGCUUCUCAGUCUAAUCCUAUAAAUAUACGCCGCAUACAACACAAUCACCCCCCAUCGACAUAACCCUCAUAUUUAGAUUUACCACCUUUUAUUUUCUUCCAUGAGAUUCAAGAAACGAGAGCAAUGGUUA
This 503-nucleotide long non-coding RNA is filed under the name Brassica napus (rape). Its description in RNAcentral is "long non-coding RNA (BNAP_LNC006410)". Lineage: Eukaryota; Viridiplantae; Streptophyta; Magnoliopsida; Brassicales; Brassicaceae. The record is from RNAcentral.